AGAGCGAACGCUGGCGGCAGGCUUAACACAUGCAAGUCGAACGGAUCCUUCGGGAUUAGUGGCGGACGGGUGAGUAACACGUGGGAACGUGCCUUUAGGUUCGGAACAACACAGGGAAACUUGUGCUAAUACCGGAUGUGCCCUUCGGGGGAAAGAUUUAUCGCCGAAAGAUUGGCCCGCGUCUGAUUAGCUAGUUGGUGAGGUAACGGCUCACCAAGGCGACGAUCAGUAGCUGGUCUGAGAGGAUGAUCAGCCACAUUGGGACUGAGACACGGCCCAAACUCCUACGGGAGGCAGCAGUGGGGAAUAUUGGACAAUGGGCGCAAGCCUGAUCCAGCCAUGCCGCGUGAGUGAUGAAGGCCCUAGGGUUGUAAAGCUCUUUUGUGCGGGAAGAUAAUGACGGUACCGCAAGAAUAACGCCCGGCUAACUUCGUGCCAGCAGCCGC
This 446-nucleotide ribosomal RNA is filed under the name uncultured bacterium. RNAcentral's name for it is "SSU rRNA". It matches the Rfam family "Bacterial small subunit ribosomal RNA", at positions 26 to 518 of the family's 1533-position model. The record is from RNAcentral.